RNAcentral lists this ribosomal RNA (477 nucleotides) under uncultured organism. RNAcentral's name for it is "partial 16S ribosomal RNA". It matches the Rfam family "Bacterial small subunit ribosomal RNA", at positions 331 to 799 of the family's 1533-position model. The record is from RNAcentral.
GUACACUCCUACGGGAGGCAGCAGUGGGGAAUUUUGGACAAUGGGCGAAAGCCUGAUCCAGCAAUGCCGCGUGAGUGAAGAAGGCCUUCGGGUUGUAAAGCUCUUUUGUCAGGGAAGAAACGGUGAGAGCUAAUAUCUCUUGCUAAUGACGGUACCUGAAGAAUAAGCACCGGCUAACUACGUGCCAGCAGCCGCGGUAAUACGUAGGGUGCAAGCGUUAAUCGGAAUUACUGGGCGUAAAGCGUGCGCAGGCGGUUUUGUAAGUCUGAUGUGAAAUCCCCGGGCUCAACCUGGGAAUUGCAUUGGAGACUGCAAGGCUAGAAUCUGGCAGAGGGGGGUAGAAUUCCACGUGUAGCAGUGAAAUGCGUAGAUAUGUGGAGGAACACCGAUGGCGAAGGCAGCCCCCUGGGUCAAGAUUGACGCUCAUGCACGAAAGCGUGGGGAGCAAACAGGAUUAGAUACCCCGGUAGUCCCAUG